RNAcentral lists this ribosomal RNA (431 nucleotides) under uncultured bacterium. Its description in RNAcentral is "partial 16S ribosomal RNA". It matches the Rfam family "Bacterial small subunit ribosomal RNA", at positions 29 to 507 of the family's 1533-position model. The record is from RNAcentral.
AGCGAACGCUAGCGGCAGGCUUAACACAUGCAAGUCGAGCGCCCCGCAAGGGGAGCGGCAGACGGGAGAGUAACACGUGGGAACAUACCUUUUGGUUCGGAACAACUGAGGGAAACUUCAGCUAAUACCGGAUAAGCCCUUACGGGGAAAGAUUUAUCGCCGAAAGAUUGGCCCGCGUCUGAUUAGCUAGUUGGUGAGGUAACGGCUCACCAAGGCGACGAUCAGUAGCUGGUCUGAGAGGAUGAUCAGCCUCACUGGGACUGAGACACGGCCCAGACUCCUACGGGAGGCAGCAGUGGGGAAUAUUGGACAAUGGGGGCAACCCUGAUCCAGCCAUGCCGCGUGAGUGAUGAAGGCCUUAGGGUUGUAAAGCUCUUUUGCCCGGGAAGAUAAUGACGGUACCGGGAGAAUAAGCCCCGGCUAACUUCGUG